GCAGGUGCUGUAGAGUUCUUGGCUUCAAUUGUGAAUGACUUGAGCUCUUUAUCCUUUGAAGAAUCAACUUCAGAUGGAGAUGGGAUUGAGGUCAUAACACCAAGUGAUGAGGCCUUAAGCAUUCUCUACAGUCUUCAAUUAUCCGAAUCCGGGCUCAAGAUUCUUAUAGGCAAAAAUGGGGAGAUCAUUCAGUCGUUAACCAACGUCUUGCAAAAUGGGAACUACGAGUCUCGAGCUUAUGC
RNAcentral lists this unclassified non-coding RNA (242 nucleotides) under Hevea brasiliensis (rubber tree). The record is from RNAcentral. Lineage: Eukaryota; Viridiplantae; Streptophyta; Magnoliopsida; Malpighiales; Euphorbiaceae.